Molecule: transfer RNA, 73 nt
Filed under: bacterium
Lineage: Bacteria
Description: tRNA-Pro
Rfam family: tRNA
About the family: Transfer RNA (tRNA) molecules are approximately 80 nucleotides in length. Their secondary structure includes four short double-helical elements and three loops (D, anti-codon, and T loops).
Source: RNAcentral
CGGAGUAUGGCGCAGUUGGUAGCGCGCAGGGCUGGGGGUCCUGAGGCCGUGGGUUCGAGUCCCACUACUCCGA